Camellia sinensis is the source of this 1079-nucleotide non-coding RNA. The record is from RefSeq and is a predicted model, not a curated record. Lineage: Eukaryota; Viridiplantae; Streptophyta; Magnoliopsida; Ericales; Theaceae.
AAAGUUAUCUUUCACUACCACGGCAAGGGCAAUGUUCUGCAAUUUUACUGUAUUCAAUUAUAUUGAUUUGUUAUAUCAAGCCAUUGAAUCCGUGCAUACAGAUAAAACUACGUACUACACUAUCUUUCCAGAGCAUUUUAUGUGUGUUAGGACAGGCACACAUUAGUUUGUUUGGUUCUUAAACAUCUUGAAUGUUUCAAUUAAGCAGUCGGUUCCUCUUGGGGCUUUUCUUGCUGUUUAAGGUGUCAUUAUAGUUUUGACCCUUUUGGGUAGCUCUUGUUUUCUCUUGGGACACAUUAACUAAUGAUAUAGUUGACACGUUUCCACAAGCACCUUGCGAAUUCAACCUUACAAUUACUCAUUCUGCCAUGACAAAUAAAAUGGCUUAAUUCCCUGUCAAAACAUGGUGACACCUUGUAUGAACGUGUAAAUAUCUUACUUGUAUUCUUGUUUAGUCAAUCUUCUGUCUUUUGACUGGCAAGGGAAAUUUAUCAGGUCCAUUGAGAAGCCGAGCUGCAAAAGCAAUUGGAUUCAUAGAUAUGAUGAUUGAUUACUCGUUAGAAAACGCUCCUUUGCAAAAAGAGCUAUCUGCAGAUGAGGUGGGAAACACCGCUGCCUUCCUGGUAUCGCCAUUGGCUUCUGCCAUCACUGGUGCUGUUAUAUACGUUGACAACGGUCUGAAUGCGAUGGGUGUGGGAGUGGAUAGUCCUAUAUUUAAAGACCUUGACAUUCCGAAGAAUAAGCAUUAGAGGUAUCGCAUGGUUUACAGGAUAGAAGAGGAGAUUUGAAAUCUUAGGUUAGUGGUAUUGUCGCUGUUUUUCUCUUCUUUAACCCCCUUAUGGUCAUCACCCAAGAAUGGCUUGGGUAGCGGACCCCAUUUUGUGAUGAGAGCAUCUGUUUCUUCCAAAGGGACUUUCUUCUUGUUUCUGAUAAAAUUGUGGAAAAAGAUUUUUGAGUAUGACUUCCCAUUAUGUGCUCUUUGUUGAAUUUAAAACAAUUAAUCUCCAACUGUGAAAUCCGACAAAGAACUUGAUGGAAUGCAGGAAAUACAAACAAUUUGAUGUGUUUCUCAUUUUCUC